RNAcentral lists this ribosomal RNA (460 nucleotides) under uncultured bacterium. RNAcentral describes it as "partial 16S ribosomal RNA". It matches the Rfam family "Bacterial small subunit ribosomal RNA", at positions 338 to 795 of the family's 1533-position model. The record is from RNAcentral.
CCUACGGGUGGCAGCAGUGAGGAAUAUUGGUCAAUGGGCGCGAGCCUGAACCAGCCAAGUCGCGUGAAGGAUGGCUGCCCUACGGGUUGUAAACUUCUUUUAUAAAGGAAUAAAGUGAGGAACGUGUGCCUUUUUGUAUGUACUUUCUGAAUAAGGAUCGGCUAACUCCGUGCAAGCAGCCGCGGUAAUACGGAGGAUCCGAGCGUUAUCCGGAUUUAUGGGGUUUAAAGGGAGCGUAGAUGGGUUGUUAAGUCAGUUGUGAAAGUUUGCGGCUCAACCGUAAAAUUGCAAUUGAUACUGGCAGCCUUGAGUACAGUUGAGGUAGGCGGAAUUCGUGGUGUAGCGGUGAAAUGCUUAGAUAUCACGAAGAACACCGAUUGCGAAGGCAGCCUACUAAACUGCCACUGACAUUGAUGCUCGAAAGUGUGGGUAUCAAACAGGAUUAGAUACCCGAGUAGUC